Molecule: long non-coding RNA, 114 nt
Organism: Etheostoma spectabile (orangethroat darter)
Lineage: Eukaryota; Metazoa; Chordata; Actinopteri; Perciformes; Percidae
Exons: 3
Source: RefSeq, a predicted model, not a curated record
UGCAGCUUAAAGCCACAGGGCCCUAUUUUAACGAUCUAAGCGCACGGCAUGAAGCGCAUGGCGCAGCUGCGUUUAGGGUGCGUCCACAUCCACGUUUGCUAGUUUGACGGCGGA